This 293-nucleotide ribosomal RNA is filed under the name uncultured bacterium. RNAcentral's name for it is "partial 16S ribosomal RNA". It matches the Rfam family "Bacterial small subunit ribosomal RNA", at positions 505 to 796 of the family's 1533-position model. The record is from RNAcentral.
GUGCCAGCCGCCGCGGUAAUACGGGGGGAGCAAGCGUUGUUCGGAUUUACUGGGCGUAAAGGGCGCGUAGGCGGCCAGCGCAAGUCAGUUGUGAAAUCUCCGGGCUUAACUCGGAACGGUCAACUGAUACUGCGCGGCUAGAGUGCAGAAGGGGCAACUGGAAUUCUCGGUGUAGCGGUGAAAUGCGUAGAUAUCGAGAGGAACACCUGCGGCGAAGGCGGGUUGCUGGGCUGACACUGACGCUGAUGCGCGAAAGCCAGGGGAGCGAACGGGAUUAGAAACCCCUGUAGUCC